CAAUAUUUCUACUCUCUGCCAAGAACGGAUUUAUCGUGUAACUUUGAUAACUUGCCUUCCGGUUGGGAAGAGAACAAGUUACCGUAGCGACAAACUGUACAUUUGUAGUUAACUAAUACGAAGAGCGCUGCAAUAAAGGAAAUGUCUAAAAAACAGAAAGCCAGACGCCGCUUGCUCUUCGAAUUAAUAAUUUAUUUUACUACACCCCCUAUCGUGCAGUCAACUACGACUUGAUUCUUUCAAUUCCUUGUUUCAUGUGCCCACUGUACGUAAUAAAGGUGGAAGUUUGGACGUGCGUGGUCAGGUCAUAUGCGGUCGCACGAAUACGAUAGGUCAUUCGAUAAGAGCCUGCCCGCGGGACACAGCUGCUGCUAGGGUGCGAAAGGCAGCAUUUUGUGCUUGGUUCCGAGAGUGCGAAUUAUUCUAUAAAGAGGUUACCAAAGUUGUAAAGUUAAAUGAAAAUAGAGCCGCGAAGAAGGAACGUCAAUCAGGUGGUGGACAUCCAAUAAAACAACAGCGUCAACAAUGCCAACCCUGCCAUACGUUCGGUCCAGACAUACAAAGCGUUCAUUGGCAAAAAUCGAACGUGAAGAAAAGACCACAUUUACAAAGAUCUUCUUCCGUUUCUUCGACCACAUUGUAUAUUUAAUGGCAUCGCGAUGGGACUCAGGUUCAGAAAGCCCAUCCUAGGGGCGUAUGUCAUUUCAGGCCUAGGAAGACGGAGACCUGACACGGCAGUGGUCCGCUCAAGCACAAGCGUGAUGUUUCCAGCUUCGCCACAGCUUCAUACGAAUAAAUAAAGAUCAGAUUAGCUCGCUUUGCUGAUAUGGCGUUUACGAUAGCGGUAGCUUUAUUUGUAGUCGUAUUGAGCCGCUUUACACAAGUGCAUAGUAUUGCAGGGCCCAUGAGCAGUGUACAUCAGCUAAAGGUAAUAACAAUAGCGUGAUCUUCCACAGCAAGCCAUCUGUGAAAUGCUCUGCAACUCUAUCAAACCUGGAAGUAAGAUGCCUAAUUUGGCCUCGGCUGAGAGCCGACAGAAAUUAAUUGACCUGUGGGCGAUGCAGGGUAAUCGUCUAAACGGUUUAGUAAUGACCCCACACGUUCGCGAGCUGUUCAGGGUCUAUUUUCGAGAAGUCAGUAUUUGCUUCUCAGUUAAUUUUCGAGAGCGACUCCUUCAACGCCGAAGUCAGCAGCGAUCUUCUAUCACUGUGAAGUUAAUCUACGGUGACGGAACAUCCGUGACGUUCAAGGAGGGACACAUUGAAACAUUGGUUUUAACUCUUGGAUAUCCGGAAUCAGCUGUCAUCCGUUGCAUAACGAUCUCGUACGAGGACGAUGGAAAGAUUGUGCGCCGUGUUGAAGAUUUCCCAGUCCUAUGCUUCGAGAUUUUGUUUCGUUCCAUAUUCAAUGGGAAGUACAUUUUACAGAUCAGGUGCCGGGAUGGAAAAGACAUAAAGGACGACCCUGAUCCAAAGAACUGUGUCAUAAUAUACCUGUCUGCGGAGUGGGAUCCGCUAAAGCGGGGUCUCCCAGCACUUGGCAACACGGGUGAGAUAAGUUUAUCAACUUCAGCUAGUCGUUGAUAAAGUCGUUUACUCAUUCCGAACACCGCGGCCAGAACCGUACCGAACAGACUGAAGUUCCGAGAUCAAAGUAACCACUCGUUUGUAUCGAUGGUGAUGACGACGAUGCUGAUUAUGAUUAUGGGGUCGAGGCAAAUUAGUUACCGAAAAAAUGCAAACGGCAAAAUCAACGUUUUAAUUAAAAUGAAUG
Molecule: non-coding RNA, 1773 nt
Organism: Varroa destructor (honeybee mite)
Lineage: Eukaryota; Metazoa; Arthropoda; Arachnida; Mesostigmata; Varroidae
Source: RefSeq, a predicted model, not a curated record